UGAGGAAUAUUGGUCAAUGGGCGAGAGCCUGAACCAGCCAAGUCGCGUGCAGGAAGACGGCCCUAUGGGUUGUAAACUGCUUUUGUAAGGGGAUAAAAUGGGGUACGAGUACUCUAUUGCAGGUACCUUACGAAUAAGGAUCGGCUAACUCCGUGCCAGCAGCCGCGGUAAUACGGAGGAUCCGAGCGUUAUCCGGAUUUAUUGGGUUUAAAGGGUGCGUAGGCGGGAGAUCAAGUCAGUGGUGAAAGUUUGCAGCUUAACUGUAAAAUUGCCAUUGAAACUGAUUUUCUUGAGUACAGACGAGGUAAGCGGAAUGUGUAGUGUAGCGGUGAAAUGCAUAGAUAUUACACAGAACACCGAUAGCGAAGGCAGCUUACUGGUAUGUAACUGACGCUGAGGCACGAAAGCGUGGGGAUCGAACA
RNAcentral lists this ribosomal RNA (422 nucleotides) under uncultured prokaryote. RNAcentral's name for it is "bacterial SSU rRNA". It matches the Rfam family "Bacterial small subunit ribosomal RNA", at positions 355 to 774 of the family's 1533-position model. The record is from RNAcentral.